This is a long non-coding RNA of Labrus mixtus (cuckoo wrasse), 134 nucleotides long. RefSeq lists it as uncharacterized. The record is from RefSeq and is a predicted model, not a curated record. Lineage: Eukaryota; Metazoa; Chordata; Actinopteri; Labriformes; Labridae. The transcript has 2 exons.
UUUGCAGCACUGCAGCGUUGCUUGCGAUACAUCCAAAAGUUCUUUUGCGCGCCAUCUGAUGAAAUUUAUCUUUCAGCAAUUUCCUUCUGAAAAAGGUGAAUAUUAAAAUAUCACAUUUCAUUUUUGGAUUAAUU